CGCCAGACUCCUACGGGAGGCAGCAGUGGGGAAUAUUGCACAAUGGGGGAAACCCUGAUGCAGCGACGCCGCGUGAGUGAAGAAGUAUUUCGGUAUGUAAAGCUCUAUCAGCAGGGAAGAAAAUGACGGUACCUGACUAAGAAGCCCCGGCUAACUACGUGCCAGCAGCCGCGGUAAUACGUAGGGGGCAAGCGUUAUCCGGAUUUACUGGGUGUAAAGGGAGCGUAGACGGCAUGGCAAGUCAGAUGUGAAAGCCCGGGGCUCAACCCCGGGACUGCAUUUGAAACUGUCAGGCUGGAGUGCAGGAGGGGCAGGCGGAAUUCCUGGUGUAGCGGUGAAAUGCGUAGAUAUCAGGAGGAACACCGGCGGCGAAGGCGGCCUGCUGGACCGCGACUGACGUUGAGGCUCGAAAGCGUGGGGAGCAAACAGGAUUAGAUACCCCUGUA
RNAcentral lists this ribosomal RNA (446 nucleotides) under uncultured bacterium. RNAcentral describes it as "bacterial SSU rRNA". It matches the Rfam family "Bacterial small subunit ribosomal RNA", at positions 329 to 792 of the family's 1533-position model. The record is from RNAcentral.